UGGGGAAUUUUGCGCAAUGGGGGAAACCCUGACGCAGCGACGCCUCGUGAGUGAUGAAGUCUUUCGGGAUGUAAAGCUCUGUCGGCAGGGACGAUUAUGACGGUACCUGCAAAGGAAGCUCCGGCUAACUACGUGCCAGCAGCCGCGGUAAUACGUAGGGAGCGAGCGUUGUCCGGAUUUAUUGGGCGUAAAGCGUGCGUAGGUGGUUCAGUAAGUUAGAUGUUAAAGGCAGAGGCUCAACCUCUGUUUGCGUCUAAAACUGUUGGACUAGAGGACAGGAGAGGGAAGCGGAACUCACAGUGUAGCGGUGAAAUGCGUAGAUAUUGUGAGGAACACCAGUGGCGAAGGCGGCUUCCUGGACUGUAACUGACACUGAGGCACGAAAGCAUGGGGAGCAAACAGG
RNAcentral lists this ribosomal RNA (403 nucleotides) under uncultured bacterium. RNAcentral describes it as "bacterial SSU rRNA". It matches the Rfam family "Bacterial small subunit ribosomal RNA", at positions 355 to 776 of the family's 1533-position model. The record is from RNAcentral.